RNAcentral lists this ribosomal RNA (200 nucleotides) under uncultured bacterium. RNAcentral describes it as "partial 16S ribosomal RNA". It matches the Rfam family "Bacterial small subunit ribosomal RNA", at positions 8 to 210 of the family's 1533-position model. The record is from RNAcentral.
AGAGUUUGAUCCUGGCUCAGGACGAACGCUGGCGGCGUGCUUAACACAUGCAAGUCGAGCGGAAAGGCCCUUCGGGGUACUCGAGCGGCGAACGGGUGAGUAACACGUGAGCAACCUGCCCCUGGCUCUGGGAUAGCUCCGGAAACGGAAGCUAAUACCGGAUAUGACGUACGGAGGCAUCUCCUGUACGUGGAAAGAAC